GUAUAUAAAAAAUAAUUUGAGAUUUUAUAGUAUAUUGAAUAUAUAUAUAAAAAUAAAUAUUUUAAAAUACCACAAAGCUAACUAAUAUUAAUUUUUGCAACUGUUCAUAAUUCAAUUUGUUUUUAUAAUUUUUCCCUUUAUAUAUGCCUGAUGUAUCAUGUUAUUAUUAUUAAGAAAAUUUAAAAUUAUUUAUUUUAUGCUUCAAACGUUUGUGCUUUAUUCUAUAUUUUGUGAGGGAAGGAACUAUCGUCCGUGAUAAAACGAUGAUCAGAUAAGAAACUGUCGUCGUUAAUAAGACAAUGAUCGGAUAAGAAACUAUCGUCGGUAAUAAAAUGAUGGUCGGAGAAGGAAACAGUGACCGGGAAAAAGAGAAAAAAAAUUUUUUUGACAUCGCGCAUCUCCAAAAUAAAAGAGGAGAUCUAUCGUCCAUUGAGGAGAACCUCAUCAUUGUCUGCAGUGACACGACCAUCCUCUUUGUCUUCGCCAUUCUACCAUCUUUUGUCCAGACAAGUUACCGAAGUUUAUCCUUCCUCCAUCAUAUUUUCAUUGUGUGAACCAGAACUUUUAUUUGGA
RNAcentral lists this long non-coding RNA (573 nucleotides) under Androctonus crassicauda. The record is from RNAcentral. Lineage: Eukaryota; Metazoa; Arthropoda; Arachnida; Scorpiones; Buthidae.